This is a long non-coding RNA of Hippopotamus amphibius kiboko, 312 nucleotides long. RefSeq lists it as uncharacterized. The record is from RefSeq and is a predicted model, not a curated record. Lineage: Eukaryota; Metazoa; Chordata; Mammalia; Artiodactyla; Hippopotamidae. The transcript is spliced from 3 exons.
GUCCUUCCGGUUCUUCAAACACAGGUGGCAGGAGUCCCCAAGCAGAGGAAAGGCCACACCUGAGACCCAGGCUCAUUCCGAGAUGCAUACUGGCCCCAGCAUCUUCAGCACCUCAUCCAGUGUUCCAGUUGAAGGGCUGCUACCUUAUCUGCUAGCUGGUGCACUAGGGCUGGGGACAAGACUGGCAAAGCUGGGAUAACAGCUUUAUGCAAGAGGAUUAAGCAAACCCAACCUUCAUUUGCAUCAUGUUUUUUCCUCACUUGACUCUACUUUGGAUGGGGCAAAAGCUAAAUUUUGACUUCUACUCUCCCU